CUGGGAGGUAGCGUUUCACCAUAUUGAAUUUGGGGAAGGAUACAGUCAGUCUAUAGCAUCUGCUUCCCUCUCAGAAGCCCGUUGCUGUCACAUGGACAAGCAAGCAAGAAGGAAGAUGAAAGACACAUGGCCCAGUCAACACUCCCUGCUGACUAUACAGCUAACCUCCAGAAGCAGAGCCACCUACCUGGCCUGCAGGGCCCACGGAAGGAAGACCCAUGGAGACCCACAGGUGAAGUAUAUUGAAUGGAAUUACAGCUUUCAGAGGAAAGAGCCAGAUUAUAAAAGGCAUAAUCUGCCCAUUUUCAACAUGGACAAAGGAAACUAGCAGAGCCA
This 336-nucleotide long non-coding RNA is filed under the name Canis lupus familiaris (dog). Its description in RNAcentral is "lncRNA (ENSCAFG00845029313.1)". Lineage: Eukaryota; Metazoa; Chordata; Mammalia; Carnivora; Canidae. The record is from RNAcentral.